GCGGCCAGUAGGACAGCUCUUGUGAGAAAUCCCCUGGAGAUGUGGGAAGGCUUCGAAUGUUGCUCGCUCGCUCAUCUUCACUUCCUGUAGUAGCUGCUCCGAGCUCUUCUUAAGUCUGGAUCUUUACAUAGGUCCUGCAUGGGUUCCUCUUUGAUGAUUCAUCUAUGACAGAGCAUGGCCUGCCAAGAGGUGCCAUGUCAGGACCCGGGAUCCGAACAGGCGAACCCUGGGCCGCCAAAGCGGACGUGCACGCUUAAUCACUGCGCCAUCAGAUUAACCCUGAGCUAACUACUGCCAGUCCUCCUCUUUUUGCUGAGGAAUACUGACCCUGAGCUAACAUCUGUGCCCAUCUUCCUCUACUUUAUAUGUGGGACGCCUACCACAGCAUGGUGUGCCAAGCGGUUCCAUGUCCACACCUGGGAUCUGAACCAGCGAACCCCGGGCUGCCGAGAAGCCAAACAUGCAAACUUAACCACUGUGCCACUGGGCCGGCCCCUACUUUGCAUCCCUGGAGCAAAUCCCAGUUGAUCACAAUGUGUGAUCCUUUAAUGUAUUGUUGAAUUUUUUUACUAAAAUUUUGUUGAGGAUUUUAGCAUCUAUGUUCAUCAGGGAUAUUGGCCUGUAGUUUUCUUUUCUUGUGGCAUGCUUGUCUGGUUUAGGUGUCAGGGGAAUGCUGGCCUCACAAAAUGAGUUUGGAAGUGUUUCUUCUCUUCUAUUUUUUGGAAGAGUUUGAGAAGGAUUGAUGUUAAUUCUUGUUUAAGUGUUUGGUGGAU
RNAcentral lists this long non-coding RNA (773 nucleotides) under Equus asinus (donkey). RNAcentral's name for it is "lncRNA (ENSEASG00005030363.1)". Lineage: Eukaryota; Metazoa; Chordata; Mammalia; Perissodactyla; Equidae. The record is from RNAcentral.